RNAcentral lists this ribosomal RNA (499 nucleotides) under uncultured bacterium. Its description in RNAcentral is "partial 16S ribosomal RNA". It matches the Rfam family "Bacterial small subunit ribosomal RNA", at positions 28 to 523 of the family's 1533-position model. The record is from RNAcentral.
GAUGAACGCUGGCGGCGUGCCUAAUACAUGCAAGUCGAACGCUUCACUUCGGUGAAGAGUGGCGAACGGGUGAGUAAUACAUAAGUAACCUGGCAUCUACAGGGGGAUAACUGAUGGAAACGUCAGCUAAGACCGCAUAGGUGUAGAGAUCGCAUGAACUCUAUAUGAAAAGUGCUACGGGACUGGUAGAUGAUGGACUUAUGGCGCAUUAGCUGGUUGGUAGGGUAACGGCCUACCAAGGCGACGAUGCGUAGCCGACCUGGGAGGGUGACCGGCCAAACUGGGACUGAGACACGGCCCAGACUCCUACGGGAGGCAGCAGUAGGGAAUUUUCGGAAAUGGGGGGAAACCCUGACCGAGCAACGCCGCGUGAAGGAAGAAGUAAUUCGUUAUGUAAACUUCUGUCAUAGAGGAAGAACGGUGGAUAUAGGGAAUGAUAUCCAAGUGACGGUACUCUAUAAGAAAGCCACGGCUAACUACGUGCCAGCCGCCGCCGUAA